CCUCAACAAGCAAGAGUGAACAUGGGGAUGCCUGGAGUUAAUGCAUUUGGAGUCUCGACACAAUUGUAAUAAGACUGGGAAUGCAACCUAUUCAGCAAGAGUGGUAUGCAGGUAAAGAGUAGAAAAGAGCAUUCCUAGUCUCAGGCAGGCUCUUAUUCCCCACAGGAGUUUUCCCUCUGGAGCAGACCUGCUGACGGCUGAUGCGGGCUUGGUGUGAAAAUGAAAAUUCACAUUGCGUGGAAGCUUUGCCCGUGCCCCGUACUCUAUCAACUUUGGAUCCCAAGGAUUUGAAAUUGAGCCUUGUUAGAAGACAGAAACACAUCCUAAACUUCUUUUAUAUCCCAUUGCUGAAGCAAGUACCUUGGAUCCAAGAGGAUGUCUUGUGCAUGUGGCCUGCAUCUUGCAACCAAUCACAAGGAUCCAGGAAAUCAGGAGUGCCUUCAAAGUGACUAAGCCCCCCCCCGGGGGGGGGGCGGGACAAGCACAAUGGAGUGUAGCUGUGGUUGUACACCAUUGCUUGUGUGAACUAUUAUGACUAUGGGCCAGAAUGAACAUGAAUACACAAGACUCGAGGAUAAGAACACUAAGCACAAGCCCUAAAACUUCAGUGAGAAAACAGCAGCUGAAGUGAAGGAUGUGUUGGAGGAAAUGCGAGGACCUGAAAGAAAGCUUUGGUGUUUGUGGUACUCCCCACAACUGGAUUUCAGUUGCCUGCCUGCCGGGAUGUUUGUUUAUUUAAAGGAGAAUCAAGUCAAGUGUCAACAUUCCCACCUAGAAAUCUACACAAGGAGAAUGGAUUAGCCUCUGUAUGUUUAUCCUCAGGGUUGGGGAAAGAAUUGUUUGUCUGUUAGCAUAAACAGUUGCAUGGAGCUGCUCAGAAGGUCUGUUUGCUUUCCCUGGAAGGGCAGAGCCACCAGCUCCCCAGAAAUGUUUGACCUCUCUCCUCCUCUCCUGCCCCAAGAUAAACAGAUGGUGUGGUAGAUGAAGAACUUGCCUCCCUAGGAAGAGCCUCUGAUUGUCUUUCCUUGUCUGUAAAGUGAGUGUGAUAAUAGAAGCCCCAUCAGACAGAGACCAUUAGGAGGGACAAAUGCUCUGCUCUCCAUGCAUGUAAUUGUAGAGUAAUUUCCCAGUACAGGGGCAACCCUUCAGGGAGGGGACAUUGAGUCCAAAAGUCCAGACCCUGUUGCAUCCUGGGAAACGUCUCUCAAUCGCUUGGUCUUCAAUAUUUCAAAUAGAGGAUAUGAUGUAAAACCAGAUUUUCCCUAAAACUCACUGAAUAUAAGAUUUUGGGUGUUGAUACAGAAAAAUAAACCUUUUGUGAUUUUUUUAUAAUCAUACCCUAGAAUGAUCCAGACAUUCAAAAAUCUACCAUUAUUGGAAAGAGAAGAUGUUUCAGUGAUUUACAGAGCUGGGAAAAUGAAGGGACAGAGAAAAGAACAGAAAACAAGGAAAAAAAAAGAAAAGAGGCAGUAAAACCCAGUUGUAAGAAGCUGGGUAUUAGAGGUCCAUUUAUGACCUCUAAUCACAGCAGGGAAACGUUCCUGAGGAAAUGAUUGACAGUGAGUGACAGGUAGACAGAGGCAGACAGAUGGUAGACAGAGGAUACAUAGUACACAUGUAUGUACAUGUGGGCCUUUAAGUGUUUAAAAAUACGAGUUCAAGAGGUUUAUGCUUCACCUAAAAGAGAAAAGAAACAUAGUCUAAAUAUUCAAUGGUAUGCUCAUGUAUGUACAAUUGUAACAUCAUUCCUCUUUGGAAUUUCGGGUAACAAUUUAAAUGGUAUGUCUUAGAAUGAUGCAGUAACAUCCCAAAUGUUUGCAGUAUUGUGUUAACAUUUUCAGAGGGAGACUAGAAACUUAACCAAGUGUGGUGAAGGCGUUAUAUUCCUUUCCAACCUUUUCAGAUUUUCCAAAUAUUACCUAACACAUUUUCUAGUGGUGUGCACUCACGUGCAUAUUCAUAGGAGGCAGUUUAGAGGAAUGAAGUUGAGUGUCACUUGAGCCAAGAGCUCAGGUUCCUCUUAGCUGUGCUCAGAUUUGCUCAUUCUUUCUUUUGAAGCAUUGCAUGGGAGCUAUGUUGGGAGAAGAGGAUGGGUUCCCAUUCUCUGCAGAUUUUAGCCCCAUCAUCUUUUAUCCAUUACAUGAGAGAGAGAGAGAGAGAGAGAGAGAGAGAGAGACACAAAUCCUGCAGAGCAAGCAAUAAACCAACGAACAGCCUUCUAAUCAACUGUCUUAAAGAUUACCUCUCAAACUAGACAAAUUGAUCCAGCUAGCUUUAUGUAGCUGCCUGCCUAGAAUUCCCCUCAACCAAGAGCAUUUGGUCUGAUGAGACACCCUGUUGCUUUAGCAAGUAUCUCAUUUGCUGUCUGCCUCACUCUAUGAUGCAGAUCUGGCUGCUCUGAGUUCUCUUUUAGACUUGUGGCUUAAUGUGAAGCAAGGCAGAGAAGGAGGGGGUGAAGUUAUGAAGGAUUGAAAAAUGUGACUUGACUCCACAACAGUAUCACUAAGUAUUCAUUUAAUAGCAAGAAAAAGAGAGGGUGGGGAGGAUGGGGAACGAAUGGGGAGGAGGAGGGGAAAAAGCUGUGUCAUCAACUUACCUAGGUGUCAGUUGCUUUUCGUCGUUCAAGCUUAUUUUUUAUAGCACCCAAAACUCUUAAGAUGUAUUUUGAAAUAUUUUGCUCUCCUUUGUAAUUAAAGGUAGCAAGGCCAGCAUCUCCUAACAUCUUUAAAUAUCUGUCACCAUUUUGAAGGCCUUCCCCACUGUGAAACCUGUAAUUAAAAUUUAUACUACAUUA
Molecule: long non-coding RNA, 2794 nt
Organism: Mesocricetus auratus (golden hamster)
Lineage: Eukaryota; Metazoa; Chordata; Mammalia; Rodentia; Cricetidae
Exons: 2
Source: RefSeq, a predicted model, not a curated record